AUAUUUUUGCUAUUUGUCUCACCUCCUCUAUUCACUACACCCCGCGAAGGGAUGUAAUAAAGGGAGUUAUUUCCAACUUGAAGUGACAAUCGAAACGGAUUUAUUUAUUUAAAGAAUUCAGAGUCGCCACUUGGGAUAUUUGUGGCGUCCCAAGUCAUCGGUUCAAAUCCUGAAUCGACAAAAAUGUUGACUCUGUAUUACAAUCCGUGAACAAGAAAUCCGGGUAAGGAAUUCUAAUAACUCGGGAGAAAGAGUUGGGCAUUUCCGAGUUCGUGGUCUAGCACGGUCGCUCAAUUGUUAUAAUUGACCUAUUAUAUUAUUUUAAUACAAGUUUUAGUCUAUGGUUCAAUUUUAAUUUUAUAACCACUUUUAUUUCUUUUUUAAAGAAAAUUACAACGUCAUUUAAAAUAUGUUUCGGACCACGUCACAUAAAUAUACCUGCAGUCCAUAAUACAUUUUAUCUAACAUUGAGAUUUAGAUUUGGGUUACAUAAAUGUGCACCUGAGUUUAGGAAGGUAAUGUUAUUAAUGUACGCGCCUAAAGCAACUACGUGUUUUAAUUUUGCAAAAUGGUACGCCUCGAAUUCUAAGGUUAAGUUAAAACUAAUUAAAAGCGGGCCAAGCAAUUGUCAUUUUGGUUUGGCAUGGAGCACCUCAACUAUUUAAAAUAUUUCGAAACUUAAUUUUUUAGGGCCAUAGAUUAUGAUUUUGUCGAACAUGGCCCGCCUCAAGCCUAAACCAAAGUCCAACUAACUAGCUAAGGCUUAACAUGAUUUGAAUUUAAAAUAAACAGAUGCAUAAGUCUGCCUUGAGAACCAGCAAAAUAAGCGUGAACUCAACAGUGGGCUGCACGAGAAGCCCAACUGCCUUGAAAGGGUCUAAUUGGCAUGUUCACUAGCCUGUUCGCCUAGAACCCCAAAGAGAUGAUUUCAAAGUUUUGGCUCAAAUAAAGCCCAAAUCUAACAAGGGAGGGAAAGUGUUAGCAUGCUGACCCUAAUCGAUCAUAUGCUAAUUUAGCUUAAUGCGACUAUAGCAAUUGAAAGCCAAACGUUGUUAUGCUAAUUUGAAGUUCCUUAAUUAAUACCAACAAAUUUUAUUCCUGAAUUUGAUUACUUAAACAAAGAACAAACCCAAGAAACUAAUCUGUAUAGAAGCUAAACACCUGACAAACAAAUUAGCUUGUGGCUACUAUGAAUACAUGAAUGAACCUUUCCUAAUGACCAACUUGCUUUUAACAAUAUGCCAUAACACUUUUAAAACAUGAUAGGCCAUCAUUAUCGAUAAUUGUUCUAAUACAGAAUAGCACACAAACGAAGUACCUAUUUUAACUAAUCUUACAGCUAAAGUCGCAUAUUGAAGAAAUAACUGCUGAGGUUCAUGACAGUCCCAAAUUAUCAUACAUUUAGCUUCAUACCCAAAACACAAACUUAGCUAGUAAUCCAUAUAAGGCUGUAAAAAUCGCGGUUAUGAACCGGAACUGGAUCGGAACCGCGGUUCUGCCGGUUCCGGCGGUUCCGGAUCCGCGGUUCCGGUUCCGGUGGCUCCCCGGAAUCGUGAUGGGGCGGUUCCACCCGCUGGAACCGCGGAACCGGAACCGCCAGAACC
This 1604-nucleotide long non-coding RNA is filed under the name Nicotiana benthamiana. RNAcentral's name for it is "long non-coding RNA (NBEN_LNC034765)". Lineage: Eukaryota; Viridiplantae; Streptophyta; Magnoliopsida; Solanales; Solanaceae. The record is from RNAcentral.